Dermochelys coriacea (leatherback sea turtle) is the source of this 692-nucleotide long non-coding RNA. RefSeq lists it as uncharacterized. The record is from RefSeq and is a predicted model, not a curated record. NCBI's taxonomy places the organism in Eukaryota, Metazoa, Chordata, Testudines, Dermochelyidae. The transcript has 5 exons.
UAAAAAAUGGGAGCUGAGACUUGCUCCUGGGAUAAUGAAAACCAGCAGGGUUUGCAGGAGCUGGUAAAAAACCCCAUUCUCCUCCCAGAGGCAGAAUGAGAACCUAGGGGUAAGGGUUCCCAGCUGUUUCAACCCAGGGAGCUCUACUCUUAGCUCAGCACUAAUUAUAUCCUUUUCUUCUUUUCCAUCUUCUUUUUCUCAGUUUACUUAAUUUGCCGCUGGUAGGCUGUAUUUUAAAGGGACCUCACAGGGUUAAUUGCUUUCUUUCCACCUCUUCCUCCCCGCCUCCCAUCCUUUUCCCCACAAUUUUGGUUUUCUGAAGUUUUAACAGAUGGUACUUUGGAUACUUAGUGAAAAGUUUGUUUGGACAAAGCAUGACAGAAGUCCACUGCAUUCCAUUGAAAUUUUUAAAGUAAAAGGUCCAUGGGUGACCAUGAAAACAAAUGUUUUACUGCCUUUUUAAACAAUCCCAAGGCAAAGGAAGCACAGGGUAAGGCAGUUGUGUUGCAGGGAUUGUACUUGGUGGCUAAGUCGUUACAGGCAAAAUAUACCACCUUAAAAGAAUUAAAUGCACAAGUAAGUAAUUUAAAGUAAAUAAAGAGUUACAAGUAGCCUUUGUAGAAAUUAAUACUACAAAGUUUGGAGGAAAUUCGCAAGAAAAACAAAUGGGUGGAAGGUGAAAAAUUGCUGCU